GAGGCUACUAUGCUAUCGGAAGCACGGAGCCUUUCGUGCUUCCAGCUCAUUUUCGAUGUUGCGACUUUCGAAUCGUCGAUCGGCUCCGUUAAACUUGAUCUAGAGUAUUUGGAGUACCUAGAAAAUAAAUUUUAUGAUUUUACGAUAUCAUUUGCCUAGUGAACGAAGGGGCUCAAAAUCAACGGCUGAAAAUAAAAAUCUUACAAAAUAUAAUAAUAUGACAUUAAAAUUUUAAAUCAAAGAUAUUGAUCUUGUUUUAUAUAGUAUAAAGAAUUUUCUAUCAAAAUUUCACGUGAUUUGGAUAUUUCUACACCGUUAAACUUGCAAACGGCUCACUACGGCCAUUGAAAUUUGUUGAUUGUGAGCCCACUCGAUCACUAGGCAAAUGGUAUCGAAAAAUAAUAAAAUUUAUUUUCUAAGUACUCCAAAUACUCUAGAUCAAGUUUAACGGAGCCGAUCGACGAUUCGAAAGUCGCAACAUCGAAAAUGAGCUGGAAGCACGAAAGGCUCCGUGCUUCCGAUAGCAUAGUAGCCUCACUCUAUAUAAAUAUAGAAUUAUGCUACUAUACUAUUAAUAGUACCAAGUUCUUGGUACUAUUGAGUUUUCGGCCGUUGGAUAACAGGAUGUGCGGUUAGGAUGAUAGUGGUCUCCGGUUAAAUUGCUAGUGGUCCCCUAGGGUUGAGUGGGUGGUUGGUUUAAUAGUAUAAUCUAAUGGGUGAAAAUGAUCAAAGGGUAGAUCUAACGGUAGAAAACUCAAUAGUACCAAGGGCUUAGUACUAUCGAUAGUAUAGUAGCCAGACUAUAUGUAUAUAUAUA
This 817-nucleotide long non-coding RNA is filed under the name Ananas comosus (pineapple). RNAcentral describes it as "long non-coding RNA (ACOM_LNC033239)". Lineage: Eukaryota; Viridiplantae; Streptophyta; Magnoliopsida; Poales; Bromeliaceae. The record is from RNAcentral.